RNAcentral lists this ribosomal RNA (253 nucleotides) under uncultured bacterium. RNAcentral's name for it is "partial 16S ribosomal RNA". It matches the Rfam family "Bacterial small subunit ribosomal RNA", at positions 524 to 776 of the family's 1533-position model. The record is from RNAcentral.
UACGUAGGGUGCGAGCGUUGUCCGGAAUUAUUGGGCGUAAAGAGCUCGUAGGCGGUGUGUCACGUCGUUCGUGAAAACUCACAGCUCAACUGUGGGCGUGCGGGCGAUACGGGCAGACUGGAGUACUGCAGGGGAGACUGGAAUUCCUGGUGUAGCGGUGGAAUGCGCAGAUAUCAGGAGGAACACCGGUGGCGAAGGCGGGUCUCUGGGCAGUAACUGACGCUGAGGAGCGAAAGCGUGGGGAGCGAACAGG